Molecule: ribosomal RNA, 489 nt
Filed under: Triticum aestivum (bread wheat)
Lineage: Eukaryota; Viridiplantae; Streptophyta; Magnoliopsida; Poales; Poaceae
Description: partial small subunit ribosomal RNA
Source: RNAcentral
AUGGCAAAUUUCUGGUGGAGCGGUUCCCUUGAUAGACGAUCUUUGCACUGGAUAUCAUGGGACAGUCUCGCAUCCCCAAAGGUUAACGGUCGUAUGGGCUUCUGAGAUCUACCAUUGUUUAAUUUGGCACUGCUAGGGAAGCAUGGGUGGAGGUUCAUUACAAAUCCGGGAUCCCUGUGCAGCCGUGUUAUGAAGGGUCGCUAUUUUCCUGAUGGAGAGUUCAUGGAUGCAGUUGUACCGCGCUCAUCGUCGGCUGUAUGGCGGGCCAUUAUUGCUGGUCGUGAAGCUCUCCAGGAAGGACUUGUGAAGCGUGUGGGGACGGGCUCUACCAUCUCCAUAUGGGCAGACAAAUGGAUUCCGGGAUUGUCAACUCUUCAACCGACAGUCAUACCAGGGGGCACUACAUUGUCCUGGGUAAGUGAACUUAUAAAUGAAGAGAACUGGACAUGGAAAAGGGAUUUGAUCCGGGAUGUGUUUAUCCCCCCGUAA